RNAcentral lists this ribosomal RNA (440 nucleotides) under uncultured bacterium. RNAcentral describes it as "partial 16S ribosomal RNA". It matches the Rfam family "Bacterial small subunit ribosomal RNA", at positions 338 to 795 of the family's 1533-position model. The record is from RNAcentral.
CCUACGGGGGGCUGCAGUAGGGAAUAUUGCUCAAUGGGGGAAACCCUGAAGCAGCAACGCCGCGUGGAGGAUGAAGGUUUUCGGAUUGUAAACUCCUUUUGUUAGAGAAGAUAAUGACGGUAUCUAACGAAUAAGCACCGGCUAACUCCGAGCCAGCAGCCGCGGUCAUACGGAGGGUGCAAGCGUUACCCGGAAUCACUGGGCGUAAAGCGCGCGUAGGCGGGGUAGGAAGUCAGAUGUGAAAUCCUAAGGCUUAACCAUAGCACUGCAGUUGAAACUGUUAUUCUAGGGUAUGUGAGCGGUAGGUGGCAUUCUUGGUGUAGGGGUAAAAUCCGUAGAGAUCAAGAGGAAUACUCAUUGCGACGGCGACCUGCUAGGACAUAUCUGACGCUGAUGCGCGAAAGCGUGGGGAGCAAACAGGAUUAGAUACCCUGGUAGUC